Molecule: unclassified non-coding RNA, 241 nt
Filed under: uncultured fungus
Lineage: Eukaryota; Fungi
Description: partial contains 5.8S ribosomal RNA, internal transcribed spacer 2, and large subunit ribosomal RNA
Rfam family: 5.8S ribosomal RNA (bases 1-52)
Source: RNAcentral
AACGCACAUUGCGCCCGCCGGUAUUCCGGCGGGCAUGCCUGUUCGAGCGUCAUUUCAACCCUCAGGUCUUGCCUGGUGUUGGAGUACCACUAUUGUGGGCUCCCAAAUUCAGCGGCGGACAUGGUCCGGACCCGAGCGUAGUAAUCUACGUCGCUCAGGGCGCCGGGGCUUGCCUCAGCCGUUAAACCCCCCAUUUUGUGAGGUUGACCUCGGAUCAGGUAGGAAUACCCGCUGAACUUAA